AAUGAACGCUGGCGGUAGGCCUAACACAUGCAAGUCGAACGGCAGCACAGUAAGAGCUUGCUCUUACGGGUGGCGAGUGGCGGACGUGUGAGGAAUACAUCGGAAUCUACUUUUUCGUGGGGGAUAACGAAGGGAAACUUACGCUAAUACCGCAUACGACCUACCGGUGAAAGCGGUGGAUCUUCGGACCUUGCGUGAUUGAAUGAGCCGAUGUCGGAUUUGCUAGUUGGGUGGGGAAAGGCCCACCUAGGCGACGGUACGUAUCCGGUGUGUGAGGCUGGUAGCCCGCACUGGAGCGUGACCAGCGUCCUGAGUCCUGCGGGAGGCAGCAGUGGGGAAUAUUGGACAAUGGGGGCAAGCCUGAUCCAGCCAUACCGCGUGGGUGGAGGAGGCCUUCGGGUUGUAAAGCCCUUUUGUGGGGAAAGAAAAGCAGCAGGUUAAUACCACGCUGUUCUGACGGUACCCAAAGAAUAAGCACCGGCUAACUUCGUG
Molecule: ribosomal RNA, 492 nt
Filed under: uncultured bacterium
Lineage: Bacteria
Description: partial 16S ribosomal RNA
Rfam family: Bacterial small subunit ribosomal RNA
Source: RNAcentral